Molecule: ribosomal RNA, 477 nt
Filed under: uncultured Hydrogenophaga sp.
Lineage: Bacteria; Pseudomonadati; Pseudomonadota; Betaproteobacteria; Burkholderiales; Comamonadaceae
Description: bacterial SSU rRNA
Rfam family: Bacterial small subunit ribosomal RNA
Source: RNAcentral
GGCGAACGGGUGAGUAAUGCAUCGGAACGUGCCCAGUCGUGGGGGAUAACGCAGCGAAAGUUGUGCUAAUACCGCAUACGAUCUAUGGAUGAAAGCGGGGGACCUUCGGGCCUCGCGCGAUUGGAGCGGCCGAUGUUAGAUUAGGUAGUUGGUGGGGUAAAGGCUCACCAAGCCAACGAUCUAUAGCUGGUCUGAGAGGACGACCAGCCACACUGGAACUGAGACACGGUCCAGACUCCUACGGGAGGCAGCAGUGGGGAAUUUUGGACAAUGGGCGAAAGCCUGAUCCAGCAAUACCGCGUGCAGGAAGAAGGCCCUCGGGUUGUAAACUGCUUUUGUACGGAACGAAACGGCGCGCUCUAAUAAAGUGCGCUAAUGACGGUACCGUAAGAAUAAGCACCGGCUAACUACGUGCCAGCAGCCGCGGUAAUACGUAGGGUGCAAGCGUUAAUCGGAAUUACUGGGCGUAAAGCGUGC